AACGAACGCUGGCGGCAUGCCUAACACAUGCAAGUCGAACGAGACCUUCGGGUCUAGUGGCGCACGGGUGCGUAAAGCGUGGGAACCUGCCCUUAGGUUCGGAAUAACUCCCCGAAAGGGGUGCUAAUACCGGAUAAUGUCUUCGGACCAAAGAUUUAUCGCCGUUGGAUGGGCCCGCGUUGGAUUAGCUAGUUGGUAGGGUAAAAGCCUACCAAGGCGACGAUCCAUAGCUGGUCUGAGAGGAUGAUCAGCCACACUGGGACUGAGACACGGCCCAGACUCCUACGGGAGGCAGCAGUGGGGAAUAUUGGACAAUGGGCGAAAGCCUGAUCCAGCAAUGCCGCGUGAGUGAUGAAGGCCUUAGGGUUGUAAAGCUCGUUUACCCGGGAUGAUAAUGACAGUACCGGGAGAAUAAGCUCCGGCUAACUCCGUG
This 433-nucleotide ribosomal RNA is filed under the name uncultured bacterium. RNAcentral describes it as "partial 16S ribosomal RNA". It matches the Rfam family "Bacterial small subunit ribosomal RNA", at positions 29 to 507 of the family's 1533-position model. The record is from RNAcentral.